Molecule: long non-coding RNA, 505 nt
Filed under: Gossypium barbadense (sea-island cotton)
Lineage: Eukaryota; Viridiplantae; Streptophyta; Magnoliopsida; Malvales; Malvaceae
Description: long non-coding RNA (GBAR_LNC023494)
Source: RNAcentral
GUAAGGGACCGAUAAGUCCACAAUCAUGUAAAGACAAUGUUUUAAGAGAAGCGAAUACUCCAAUGCUUUGCAAAAUGUUGGUGUUGAGAGUAGAUCCGUCAAAAUAUAAUUCCUCCACAUUGCUCGACACAUUUAAUUCUAUAGGAUGGGAAGAGGUAUUAGAUGUUAAUAAACGUAAGCUGUUUUGGAAAAGAACAUAAUGACUUUCACUUACCUUGAGUAGCCAGAGUCAUGUUCAGAUAAUUGUAUUGUAGAUGAAAGGCUUUAACUGAUGAGAAAGACUCCACUAAAUUUUGUAAUGGAAUGCUUCCAUCGGUGAAAGCGUGAUAAAGAAACAAAACUUUCAAAUUUCUCAAUCCCUUAUUUUCUGUAAGUGAAAGAAAUAUAUAAAUAUUUGUUUUCAUCAAUAAAAUAAAAUUUUAAUAGAGAAUGUCCAAAUCUUAACAUAACUAUUUAUUCAUUUUAUUAAUUAAACUAAUCCUUUUUUAGCAUUCUAAGAUAAAAU